RNAcentral lists this ribosomal RNA (374 nucleotides) under uncultured organism. RNAcentral's name for it is "partial 16S ribosomal RNA". It matches the Rfam family "Bacterial small subunit ribosomal RNA", at positions 527 to 896 of the family's 1533-position model. The record is from RNAcentral.
GUAGGUGGCAAGCGUUGUCCGGAAUUAUUGGGCGUAAAGCGCGCGCAGGCGGUACUUUAAGUCUGAUGUGAAAGCCCACGGCUCAACCGUGGAGGGUCAUUGGAAACUGGAGAACUUGAGUACAGAAGAGGAAAGCGGAAUUCCACGUGUAGCGGUGAAAUGCGUAGAGAUGUGGAGGAACACCAGUGGCGAAGGCGGCUUUCUGGUCUGUAACUGACGCUGAGACGCGAAAGCGUGGGGAGCAAACAGGGAUUAGAUACCCUGGUAGUCCACGCCGUAAACGAUGAGUGCUAAGUGUUAGGGGGGUUUCCGCCCCCUUAGUGCUGCAGCUAACGCAUUAAGCACUCCGCCUGGGGAGUACGGCCGCAAGGCUA